UACGGAGGGGGCAAGUGUUACUCAUCAUAACUGGGCGUAAAGAGUGCGUAGGUGGUUAAUUAAGUUAUAAGUCAAAUGCAAAUCCCGAAGGUUUGUUAAGCUUAUAAUACUGGUUGACUGGAGAUUUGUUCAGGAAAGUGGUAUUUUUGAGGAAAGGGGUAGAAUCCACCGAGUUCAAAAAGACAACCGGAAGCGAAGGCGACUUUCAAAUAAGUCUGACACUGAGGCACGAAAGCAUAGGGAGCAAACA
RNAcentral lists this ribosomal RNA (250 nucleotides) under uncultured bacterium. RNAcentral describes it as "partial 16S ribosomal RNA". It matches the Rfam family "Bacterial small subunit ribosomal RNA", at positions 524 to 774 of the family's 1533-position model. The record is from RNAcentral.